Long non-coding RNA from Gallus gallus (chicken), 3944 nucleotides. RefSeq lists it as uncharacterized. The transcript has 4 exons. NCBI's taxonomy places the organism in Eukaryota, Metazoa, Chordata, Aves, Galliformes, Phasianidae. The record is from RefSeq and is a predicted model, not a curated record.
ACAGCGAAGGAGGGGCCUUUCUGAAGGGGAGGUAGCUGGCGCCCGGGCUGACAAGGUUAAGAAAAUAAGCAACAAAACACCUGGGAGGAGAUAUGUAGAGUGCUUAAAGGGGCUGAGGGGCAUCAGGAUAGCCUUGUGCAGCUUCUCAGCCCAUGGAAACUAGUGGGAAUACACCUAAGAAACCUACAGAAAAAAAGAUUAAAAGACUACAAAACCAGGAAACCUUGCAGAUGAACAGCCAAGCUUUGGCAUCAAUGUUCAAAAUUCAGGAAAUGAAGAUUGAGAAAGCAAAUGAAAAGGAGAAUAAAGCUAGUAAAGUGAUUAAAAUGAAGAUUUGUAUACACUAAUGACUACUUUCAUGUGGACAACAGGAGGAGAGUUAGGCAAAUGCUGACCACAGCAGGAUACCACAGAUGGCAACCAACAUACUGCAGAUAAAAUCUAACACCAGCCUAGUAUAUUUGAAUGGAUCACGUAGAGAGUCUCCACACAGUAAGUUUAACUCCCAAAGAAAAUUUGGGUUGGAUAUGGUUUUUGCAAAGGCAACUGCAGAAUAAAUAGGAAGCAGACAAGAUGUAAUGUAAGUUUCUGUACGUGAUUUAAAACUUGUUAAUGUUCAGUGAGAGCCCUGUCCUCAUCCAAGCUGCUGCUGCUCUCUGCUCAGUUUUCCAUCUGGGGAUACCAUUUAGCAUUUGUACACCAAACUACUUUACAGAUAAGGCUAGACUGUAUUUCACCUAAAAGUAAUCUCACUGUCUAAUAGUUUGUUUUCAACAGCCUGAGCUGGUCAUUGUAAGCUGUAUGCCUUUGGUUGCAGUUUCUUUGCCAAGCUGUGAGUGAGGCAGUUUAUUAUUUGUUUUUAGAAAUUCUGAGCUGCUGACUGCUAGAUCCACAUAGGAACGUCAAUAAGAAUAUUUUUCUCAUAUAUAGCUUCAUUAGUCUCACAGCUGAGACAGUGUUAUACAGGUACCAAGCAAUUCUAGCACAACCAUUUUCAUGCAGCAUUGUCUUUGUUCAAAUCUAUGUUGUUCUGGUUCAACCAGGCAGACAGCUAAACAGCGCAGAUAUUUGUUCACAUCCCCUCCACAUGUGUUUUGCAGUGGGCUGGGGAAGAAAAACGGAAAGUGCAGGAGCUCACGGGUUGAGAUAAGGACAGUUUAAUAAAAAAGAGAAAAGGAAAGAAAAAGUAACAACUAUCCCAUUGCUAGUGUGAAUCAGUUGUCCUGGUUCUGUCCCUUCCUAGCUCCUUGUGGGCACAGUGGUAUGAGAAGCUGAAAAGUCCUUGACUAACUUAGUGCAAGCACAGCUCAGCAACCAAAAUGUGUGUGUUAUCAACAUUGUUCUCAUCCUAAAUCCAAAACACAGCACCAUACAAGCUAAUAGGAAGAAAGUUAUCCUAGCCAUAACCAAGACACAAUUUCAGAUUUGAAUGAAUAGAUUGUUCAGCAAUGAGGAAUUGCCUCUCUGAGAAGUUAAUAAUCAACUGCAGUGUUCAACAAUGCAAAUAUCCAUUUUUCCUUUUUUCCACUGUACAAAUGGCAUUUCACUUAUGUAGUAUAUGCCCUUCAGGGCAAGCAGUGGUGUGAACAGGAUCAAAAUUUAGAUUUUACAGUAAAAACACAUGCAGGUCCCUGUAGAACCCAGUUUGAUCAUUGAGCAAGAUGAUGAAACCAUGAGGACUGCACAUGCAGGCUGUUGGAUCAAAGUGCAUGGUGUUUAACCAAAAUAUUGUCCUCCAUUUGAGAGACUUCUCAGGGUUAGCCUGUUUGAAAUAUGUUCAUUAUUGCAUUAAGGAAUCUAUUCUAGUGUAGGUUAAGUGGCUUUCUGGUGAAUACCUUAAUCUAACACCACUAUUAAUCUUCUCAGAUAAGCCUGCAACAUAUAUAUAUAUAAAUACACUCAAAUGGCAACAGCUAUUCGACCAGUGCUUAAACCUAAAGUUGACAGUAUCUCACUGUUUGAAGAGAUGGCAGAAGUAAGAAAAUUUUUAGAUCUCUUGGACUAAAAUGUCCUGUGAUUCCUGACGGUUAGCUUCUGUUUCAACUAUGUAUGUGUAUAUAUUGGGUAUGUUAUUCUCUUUAUUAGGUAAGAGCAAAAAAUGCAGGUAAGGUUCAAGUCAAUUAGUUUCUGCAUAGUUCUUAUUCAGUUGAAGCCAUACGUAAGUGACUGAAACCCACACAAACGUUUUGUCUAUUCACUGGCAGUGCAUGUGGACGGAACUUAGCUUUCUGCUAACACAGGGUAAGCACAGUCAUAAUUAAACAGGAGAAAUGGUUGUUACAAUGAAGCAGUAGCCCCUUUGCUGAAAUGAGUCUCAUGCUAAUAAUUUUUCAACCUAAGGUAUGCUAAAUAGGUCCUAAACCUUUUAAAUUCAUGUAGUAAAUAAGUAAGUCCCAUUUUAGUUGUCUGUUGAGAGUUCAGGAGCAGUGUGUACACUUUUACCCAUUUAAGAUCACUAAAGUAGCAGCAAUCAGCUCCUGAAUUGUCAACUCAUUCCUCCCCCUUUAGUGCCCAGUCACUAGUGACCCCACACACCUUCCAGACCCUACAACACUUCUCACACAGAAGCAGAUGCUUUUCAUCCUAGGCAAGCAGUAAACAAACAAACAAAAAAAUAAUGCAGUGAGUCUUGAAUUCAACUUUCACCCCCGUUUCCUACCUGAUUCUCAAGGUAGGAAAGGUCUCUUGAGGAAGGAAAGCAAAACUUCCUCACCUAAUUCUUUAGGUUGUUCAAGACAACCAGUAAGCAAAGAUAUUGUUGUUAUCUGAAGUAACAAACUCACAGAACAAGUUGCUGUCACAUAUAUGAUCACUGGGAGGGGCUUGGUUUACCUGAGAACACAAACUUGCACUCAAAAACAGUCUGAGUAGGUGAACCAGACUGCUCCACCAUGUAAAACAGGAAAACAUAAGCAGAGACAAUGAGCUUUGCAAUGGGUUUUUGAAGUGUAUGUUCCAAACCUCCAAAGAAACUACGCUCUCCAGGGCAGGUUUGUUGUAGUGAAGGGAUAUUUGCAAACUAUGUUCCUCAUUUUUGGAAAGAGCUUGCUACAAGCCUGCACAUAGCAGGGUGGUUGAAACUAGAUGAUCAUUGCGGUUCUUUUCAACCCAGGCCAUUCUAUCAAGCAGCAUCAUCUUUGGAAAUAACAAUAUGAAAAGCAGCCAGUGGAGCAGGUCUCUUAUUUUUACAAAACAGAAGCAACCAGUUGAUGCUGGAAGUGUUCUGUAUGCUCUGGCUUACUUAGAAGGCUACAUAAGUUUUCACACCGUAAGGAUUGGUCUUGAAACAAACAUUUCAAGUAUUUUUUUAACUAUAGUUUAAUGUUUUCACAGCAGUAUAUGCCACGUAACUAUUUCAGGAAGAAUCCUAUCCCCUGAUUACUACAGCAGCUUUAGUUCUGUUUGUUUGUUUUUUCUAAAGCCUGCUCCCACUCUGACAAAGUAAUUUAUUAAGCCCAGACAAUCGUUUCUGACCUUUGCUCUGUAUCUCACUGUGAUGAUACAACUGGAAAAAAAAAAUAAACAUAUCUGCCAAGCCUUCCUUUGAGCUGGGGUGCUUCCUAGAGGCAGGGAGUAAGAAACAAAGUACUUAAACCAUUGUCACUCUAAAGAGUGCCUAUUACUUUUCAGGAGUCGUUUAGCACUAAAAUUUCCAGUCAAGGAACCCAAAUCUAUUCUAUGCAAUUUAUAGAGAGUCAGUUCACAGGUCGUGUUAUAAAGGACCGUCGGUCUGUAAGUGUUUAUUGCUUACUUGAUACAUUACAUAAGUUAAAACAUUUAAGUUCAUCUUACAGUGUAGGUAACCAUGCUUCCUAGUAUGCUUUUAAAGCCCCAAGCCAUCAGCACAAAGAUGCAUCCCAUAGCCCCACUCAAAGCAGCAUAAACUCAAGUCCAGGGUCCAGAGUUAUCCAGACAAGCAGCAGCUCAGAAUGCUGCUCAUGCCU